GCAGUGGUGGUUCAGAGGUAGAAGUUUGGCUUUCCAUGCAGGAGACCUGGGUUCGACUCCCAGCUAGUGCA
RNAcentral lists this transfer RNA (71 nucleotides) under Loxodonta africana (African savanna elephant). It matches the Rfam family "tRNA". From Rfam's summary of the family: Transfer RNA (tRNA) molecules are approximately 80 nucleotides in length. Their secondary structure includes four short double-helical elements and three loops (D, anti-codon, and T loops). Further hydrogen bonds mediate the characteristic L-shaped molecular structure. tRNAs have two regions of fundamental functional importance: the anti-codon, which is responsible for specific mRNA codon recognition, and the 3' end, to which the tRNAs corresponding amino acid is attached (by aminoacyl-tRNA synthetases). tRNAs cope with the degeneracy of the genetic code in two manners: having more than one tRNA (with a specific anti-codon) for a particular amino acid; and 'wobble' base-pairing, i.e. permitting non-standard base-pairing at the 3rd anti-codon position. The record is from Rfam by way of RNAcentral. Lineage: Eukaryota; Metazoa; Chordata; Mammalia; Proboscidea; Elephantidae.